AGAUCACUAUCACAUCGUCUAAAUCUCUCACUCACCCACAUACUUCUGCUUCUGAAUGUCGUCAGAAGUUCCCACAGUUGCCACGUCAUCUGCAGCACCGCCUUCAGAAGGAAGCAAAUUCCUCUCAUUCAGCGUUUGACAGACUGUGUCUCUGCCAUUGACACACUCUUCACGCUGUUCAUUUCUCUGUGUCCUCCAUUGAUUUUCAACUGAAGGCUAGAUACGAGAAAGGGGGUUUCCCCGCGCGUUGCUGCCGCUCGCUCUGGGAAUUCUCGUGCAUUUCAAUUUUCCCUCGGUUUUUCAUUGACAUUGACAUAUUCAGCCUGGGAAGCUAGCUCCUGGUGUCUCGAAUAAUAUUAUUUUUCACCUGGUAUCAUGUCAGCUACAACAGAAGAGAAAAAGUUCCUUAUCACCCCUAUCAAUUUAUCAGAUCUUGAUACUUCACCUGGAGCUCAUGCCAAUCAUACAUAUGAAGGUAGUGAUCCAGAAGAACCUGAAGAAGUUGAUAUUCACAUUCCAAAUGAUACACAAAGUCUUUGUGUAUCAACUGGAAGAGAUGAAGAUGAAGGAAGAUCCAUUACACCAAAUAAUAUGGCAUAUGAGUUCAUUCCAUUGAUUUACAGUGAACCUGCUCUGUUCAACAUGCCGGAUAUCUCAUAUAAUCUUCACAAAUCAUUUGCUGCAAGUGACACUUUGCUUCCUCAUAUGAGAGUCGUCGCUGAUGAAAUGAGAAAUACUUCUGCAUCAGUUACAGCUGAACCAGAACCAUCCGUAUCUCAUGCUCCAAGUGUUCUCACAGUUACAGCACCCGAAGAUCGGAAUAUGUAUCAAUCAGACAUUUCUAUGUACGGGUAAGUACUAACCCGGAUGAACCAAUGCUAAUCUGGAAUGAGUCAAUGCUUUGAGCCUUUACAACCCAACCGUUUUUUUUUUGCUUAUUAACUCAGAUUUGCUGUUCAGGUGGUAAAGUUUAUAUUUUCAGUCGGCAAGGUCAUAAACCUUCGUUUUCAACUCGAGAAAUCCGCGAACAACAUCAGAAAGUACAACAAAUAUAUCGAGAUGUAAACAAAAAAGAGCGAAAAGAAGGAAAACCGACGGAUCCGAUUGACUUUGAAGGAAUUCUUAACAUAAUCGGUGGAUGUCGAUGGUGGCAGAUUUGGAUUUAUGUGUUGAUUGCACUUCAACAAAUUCCACAUGCAAUGUUCAAUUUAAAUGUGGUUUAUAUGAUGUAUGAUCCGGAAUUUCAAUGCAUGGUAAGCAGAUGUGCUUUGCGAUUGGGCAUCGGGGAAUUAGUAGACUUCCGCUUUUUGAUGAAGUUGUUGAUGAUAAGGUUUCCUAGCAUUAGGUUUUCAUGAACAACAUGCUUGGUCAAGCUUAUCAAAAGAUCAUUGUUAUGGGAAACGGGCUUCUGAAAUGAUUUGAAUAAUGUAAUAAGCUCUCAUUCAAUAGAUUGCAAGUUCAAAACUUUUCAAUUUAUAUUGAUAUCAGAAAUUUUAGAUGGUGCAUUUUAAAUCUAUAAAUCGGUGGGGAGAAGUUACUUGCUACUAUUAAAGCUUUACAAAAACUGAUAAAAAAAUGUGGCACUUAUUUUCUAGAUUAACAUUUUUAAUUGCUCAAUAUUAUGAUUCACUUGAACAUGUCUAGUAUAGACUAAAGUAGGUUACAUUUACUGAUAUUGAUCUAUUGUAAAUUAAAUGUGAAUCCGUUUCAUGGGCGCUUAUCUUUUAAAAAUUCGCGAUUUUUAUCUGCUAACCUUCAUGUAAAGAUGGCACGAGGAUAUCACAUGUUUGUAAGACAUCCAUGAAAAUUAAAAAAUUUUUGCUCAUCUUGAUAUUAGUAAAAAAUGCUCCAAAAAUAUUCAGGUACCUGGUUUCAAUGACACAAACGACACAACCAUCUCCUCUCAUGGACCAUACCUUUGGGGUGUUGAUGACAUUAAAAACAUAUCCUUUGUAUUCCCAAAUGCAAAUUCUGAUGGAGCCUACCAACGGGAUUCUUGUUACUUUUAUGAAAGAUCAGAAGAACGAUACCGACAACUCCGUAGAAUGCCUUUAGAAACUGCCAUGAGUGAAGCAUGGAAAGAUGUCGCGCCAAAGAAAAAGUGUCAAGCUUAUCAUUUUGAGAAAGACGUUAUGGUAGAAACAAUCGUAACAGAUUUCAAUUUGGUAUGUGACAGUUGGUUCGCAAAAGGUCAUGCACAUAUGUUCUAUUCAAUUGGAUAUCUUCUAGGAUGUGUUCUUGGUGGAAUUGCCAGUGAUAAAAUCGGCCGAAAACCAACAAUAAUAGGCUUUGGAAUACUUUCAUCAAUGCUCGGAGUGUUCCUUCCUUUUAAUGAUUAUUAUCCAAUGUUUCUUCUGAUUCGAUUAUUAUCUGCAAUUUGCAAUGAAGCAGCUGAUUUAGCAGCUUACACAUUGUGCAUGGAAAUCACAGGAACCAAAUAUCGUGCGAUGGUUGGAUCAAUGUUACAAGCUCCUUGGGCCCUUGGAUAUGCUCUCCUUGCACUUAUAGCUUAUUUAACAAAAAGUUGGAAAACCAUCCAGGUUAUUGCGGCAGGACUUCACUUCAUGUCAAUCAUAUUUAUUUGUUCAAUUCCGGAAUCUCCUCGAUGGCUGAUGGUUCAGAAUAGAGUUUCAGAAGCAGAAGAAGUUAUAAGAAAAGCGUGUAGAGAACCUCCAUUCCCAUUUAAUAUGUGCACAACUUCAAAAUGUGGAAACUUGCCAUCCGAUUUGGAAUUAGUUUCGCAUCGGGAGAGGAAAUUAAACAAAAAGAACGGUGGUAAAAUAGGAUUCCUCGACCUGUUCACAAUGAAAGAACUGCGUUAUCGAACAAUAUCCGUGUGCAUUGUCUUUAUGGCAACUGCUCUUGUGUAUUAUGGGCUUGUUAUGGCUCUAUCAGACCAGUCCGCACCUGGAAGAACUCUCUUCACUGGUUAUUUCCAUUUGAAUAACGGAAUUGCUGGAGCAAUUGAAAUUCCAACAUUGUUUGCGUGUGUCUGGAUGAUGCAGUUGGGCAGGAAAAAAGCUCUAAUGUUAACACUGAUAACUUCUGGUUUGUUCAUCAUUGUUGCAAUGCUCUCAAUGGUUUCUGGCCACUACAUGUUAGCUCUGGCAUUCAUGUAUUUUGGAAAGAUAGCUGUACAAGGAGCAUUUAAUAUUCUCUAUAUAUUUACAAGUGAACUAUAUCCAACUGUUGUUCGUAACACUGCAGUUGGUGUCACUUCAAUGGUGGCUCGAUUUGGAUCUGGAUUAUCGUCCUACAUUGCUCUGUUGUCAAACAUUUCUCUACCAAUCGUUCCAAUGAUUAUUUUCGCUGUGUUCUCAUUGUUUGCUGGAAUGUUGGUGUUCGUAUUACCAGAAACUAGUGAGAAGCCACUACCGGAAACAUUAGAUGAUGCUAUCAACUUCCUGGAACCUACCAAACAAGUAAACUGCAUGAUGGGGCGUUUUGGUGUGUUUGGUCAUCAAAAAAUGACAAAAAGCAUUAGUUUGACGGAAAAUCCCAGCACCAAUGAUAUUGCCGAUUUAAAACCAUUGAGUCGACGAUCGUCGGCUAUAACAAGAAGGAUGACGGAACGGGCAAGCGUAAUUUAUUCAAGAAAUGCGAGUCGUACAAAUUCAAUAGUACAAGAUAUUCAAGAUAUUCAAAUUCCAUCGGACUUCAAAAUGCCCGAUUUGGUAUCCACCGACGAGUAACAUUUCAAACUUAUCACCCAGUUUUGCGAGCUUACAAGCAUUGACACUCCCUUAAUUCACAUUUUAUUCAAUACGAGUACGAUUGUUUAGUUGUUUUCCCAUCUCAUCAUUUUUAGCUUUUUAAUUCAGUUAUUUUUAUUUAAUCGGGUAUUUUUCAAAUCCUAGUCAUCAUCAGACCAAAAAACUACCAUUUGACAUUUUUGAAAUCCGGUAUUUUGUGAAAUUGCAACUAUCAUUCGCUUCAAAUCAAAAAUAAGUGCCUCUUGAAAUUUAUAACCCAGUGAAACAUUGUUUUUUUUCUAAUUUUUUUUCUAAUUGAAAUUCGCAUUAUUUGAAGUAAAAUAAACCGCUU
Molecule: unclassified non-coding RNA, 4044 nt
Filed under: Caenorhabditis elegans
Lineage: Eukaryota; Metazoa; Nematoda; Chromadorea; Rhabditida; Rhabditidae
Description: Non-coding transcript of protein-coding gene K05F1.6b
Source: RNAcentral